UAGGGAAUCUUCCACAAUGGACGAAAGCCUGAUGGAGCAACGCCGCGUGUGUGAUGAAGGGUUUCGGCUCGUAAAACACUGUUGUAAGAGAAGAAUGACAUUGAGAGUAACUGUUCAAUGUGUGACGGUAUCUUACCAGAAAGGAACGGCUAAAUACGUGCCNG
RNAcentral lists this ribosomal RNA (164 nucleotides) under uncultured bacterium. RNAcentral describes it as "partial 16S ribosomal RNA". It matches the Rfam family "Bacterial small subunit ribosomal RNA", at positions 355 to 511 of the family's 1533-position model. The record is from RNAcentral.